GAGCGGGCACUUUCGGGUGUCAGCGGCAGACGGGUGAGUAACACGUGGGAACGUACCCUUUGGUUCGGAAUAACGCUGGGAAACUAGCGCUAAUACCGGAUACGCCCUUUUGGGGAAAGGCUUGCUGCCGAAGGAUCGGCCCGCGUCUGAUUAGCUAGUUGGUGGGGUAAUGGCCCACCAACGCGACGAUCAGUAUCUGGUCUGAGAGGAUGAUCAGCCACACUGGGUACUGAUACACUGCCCAGACUCCUACGGGAGGCAGCAGUGGGGAAUAUUGGACAAUGGGCGCAAGCCUGAUCCAGCCAUGCCGCGUGAGUGAUGAACGCCUUACGGUUGUAAAGCUCUUUUGUCCGGGACGAUAAUGACGGUACCGGAAGAAUUAGCCCCGGCUAACUUCGUG
This 400-nucleotide ribosomal RNA is filed under the name uncultured bacterium. RNAcentral's name for it is "bacterial SSU rRNA". It matches the Rfam family "Bacterial small subunit ribosomal RNA", at positions 64 to 507 of the family's 1533-position model. The record is from RNAcentral.